UAAGAGUCUUCAGGCAGAGGUGGUGUUGUUGAAUGCAGAGAGGGACAAACUCACACAGGAGCUCAAAUGCACACUGGAACUACAGCAGCAGCGAGAGAGAGAGCUGGUACACUUGAAGUAAGCUCUGUAACAAAGCAGGGAGGAAUUGGAGGCAUCAGAAUCGAGCCGAAUGGAGAUGCAGAGACAAUGUGAAGAGAAUGAGGGGACCAUUGUGAAGCUCCAUGCUGAGAACCAGAGACUGUAGCAGCAGUGUGACUCAGUUUUACAAAAGGUAUCAGUAUUUGAGAACGUGUGUGCAGAGAAGCUCAGGGACAUGGAGGCUCAACUCAACUCAGCAAGGAGAGAGCACACAAAAGCAGAACUAAUUUUGCUGGGGAAAAAAACAGAUCUGAGUGACAUGAGGUGCAGUGGUUCAGGAACAGGGUUUGAUGAAUGAAUAUAAAAGACAAUCAGAAGAUCAGCAAUUCAGACAACCGAGGCCCUGAAACAAAAGCAUCAUCCUCAGUCAGAGAGCAGCAAUCCUUCAACACCUGAAAGUCUGCUGGGGGCACCUGCAGGUUCUUAGUGCUGCAGUAAUGGGCAAUUUAGAGGAAGAGGAUGAUGAGGAGGGUCAGGCCAGGCCUUCACUGUGACACAAACACCCUCUUGUGCUGACACACAUAAAGAAUAGUGCUGAACACACCAAUCAAUUCUCUCUCACACACACUCGCUGUCUGUCCAACCCCUCUCAUGGGGUUUGAUGUCUGUUUUAUAAUUUAAUAAAAUAGAUUUUUAUUGGAAAUUAUCCCAUAUCCUUGAGAGUUAUGAAAAUGAGAAGCUGCCAUUAGUCACAAAAUAAUCAUCUAGGAUGAGUGAUAUCACUGAAACCACCUGUCAUUUUAGAAAAUAAGUUAUUCAUUAUUUAGCAGGAUUUUUUUUCAGAGCAACUCAUAGUUCAUUUACUACAAGGACCACAGAGAAACUUAGCAAUUCCAGUACAGACCCCUUGCAGUGUAUGAUCCUGUGCUAGCAGCACACAACACAUUUACUACAGUUCAAAUGUUUGGGGUCGUUAAGAUUUUUGAAGCCAUUUUCUAUUUUAAUAGAUUUUCAAAUGUAAUUCCUGAUCAUGGCAAAGCUGAAUUUUCAGCAGUCAUUACGCCAGUUUUCAGUGUCACAUAAUCUUUCAGAAACCAUUCUAAUAUGCUUCUUAUUUGGUGAUCAAGAAUCACUUCUUUAUCUUAUUAUUAUUAUUAUUAAUGUUGAAAACAGCUGUGCUACAUUAAUAUUUUCAAAAUUCUAAGUGUUACUGUGACUUUUGACCAUUUUAGUGCAUCCUUG
Long non-coding RNA from Cyprinus carpio carpio, 1320 nucleotides. The record is from Ensembl. NCBI's taxonomy places the organism in Eukaryota, Metazoa, Chordata, Actinopteri, Cypriniformes, Cyprinidae.